UAAUAUAAAGAAAAGUGCCGGCAGUUUAUCCUCACGGCUGAGAGAUGAAUUCUCUGAGCUUGAGGACAGUGAAGAAGACUUCAGCCUGAUCGGAAUUGUUCAUUUCCUUUAUAUUUUAAAUAUCUGGAGCAAAAUGAGGAAAAAUUAAUUUGGGUGGGUAGAUGUGGGUGUUUGUUUUUAAUUCACUGCAAAAAGAAAAAAAAAAUGAGCUAUCAACUAGCCCCAGUUCCCUUCUUGUCAAUGCAGAGCUGGUUUCCCUGUCUCUUGGCUCCAAGUCCAAACUCCCGUGCUUUGCUCUGUGGCCCUGGGACUGGGAUUGGCAAGCACCAGCCCCAGGCCAUGGGCGUCUGACUGCUCUUUGCUGCUGCCAGUGGGGGACUGGGAGGCACAGUGGGGACAAGGGACUGCAGAGCUCUUUGACGGCCUUGGCGCAUUACCCCAGCACAGUCACCCCCCACAGGGGCACCCACAGGGCCAGGGGCUGAGCCCGGCUGCUGGGAGUCGCUGUUCCAGCUCUGCAGAGCAAGAUUCAGCACCAGCCCACAGGCACUCCUCUGAGCUCUUCUGAGCUCCAGCAGCCUAGGGAACACACUGCCUCGGCAGCUACAGCGUCUGAGUCACCUCACCUCCCUCCGUCUGCCGCCUCAACCUCCAACACCAGACCCAGGUAAUCCAAGAGGACGGGCAUCCGAGGCCCGGCUCCACAGCUGGACACCAGGAGACCUGAGGGAGGCCAGGCCAGGCGUGGGAUGGUGCCGGGAGAGGCGCUGCAGCCUGCCCCAGUGGAACUGGUUCAGGGAACCCUGAGAGGACAACCACUCCCUGAAAGCUUCUGGACUGGGUGCCCCGUGUCCUGUCUGCGCGGUGCGGGUGGAGAUGCUGCGAGGGUGAAGUGGAAUCAUGGCUGGUACACAUUCUGCAAACUGAAUUAUUAUGCAUUAACUGAGGACCAACCCCAUGACAGCUUGCCCUCUUCUGCCCGUGGAAAGAUGUCAGGACUCACACAGGGACACGUCCUGUCUUGCGUCUGCCACUGCUCCCUGGGUCACCCGGGUCCUCUGACAAGGCCCCUGUGUGUGACUGGAUCAGAACCACAUCCGGAACCACGUCCGCCAGCUCCCCUGCUGUGUGUCUCGGUGGGGGGAGGUAGCAUGUGCGGCCCGUGCCUGGGCCCACACAAGGUCAGUACCCACGUGGGCCCCGGGCUGCCACAGUGGACAGAGCAGGUUCAGCCUGUGUGA
This 1241-nucleotide long non-coding RNA is filed under the name Bos indicus x Bos taurus (hybrid cattle). Its description in RNAcentral is "lncRNA (ENSBIXG00005030645.1)". Lineage: Eukaryota; Metazoa; Chordata; Mammalia; Artiodactyla; Bovidae. The record is from RNAcentral.